This is a long non-coding RNA of Octopus sinensis (East Asian common octopus), 209 nucleotides long. RefSeq lists it as uncharacterized. The record is from RefSeq and is a predicted model, not a curated record. Lineage: Eukaryota; Metazoa; Mollusca; Cephalopoda; Octopoda; Octopodidae. The transcript has 3 exons.
UGUAUAUAUAUAUGUGUGUAUAAAUAUAUUAGCUUGCCUGCCUACCACGUGGUUCUAGGUUUAGUCCCAACGCGUGGCACCUUGGGCAAGUGUCUUCUACUAUAGCCUCAUCCGACCAAAACCUUGUGAGUGGAUUUGGUAGAUGGAAACUGAAAGAAGACCGUCGUGUAUAUAUAUAUAUAUAUAUAUAUGUAGGUGUGUGUAUAUGU